CCUACGGGGGGCAGCAGUGAGGAAUAUUGGUCAAUGGGCGCGAGCCUGAACCAGCCAAGUCGCGUGAGGGAGGACGGCCCUACGGGUUGUAAACCUCUUUUGCCGGGGAGCAACGGGCGCCACGUGUGGCGUCACUGAGAGUACCCGGAGAAAAAGCAUCGGCUAACUCCGUGCCAGCAGCCGCGGUAAUACGGGGGAUGCGAGCGUUAUCCGGAUUUAUUGGGUUUAAGGGGGGCGUAGGCGGAUCGUUAAGUCAUUGGUCAAAUUGAGGGGCUCAACCCCUUCCCGCCAUUGAAACUGGCGUUCUUGAGUUGAAGAGAAGUAGGCGGAAUGCGUGGUGUAGCGGUGAAAUGCAUAGAUAUCACGCAGAACCCCGAUUGCGAAGGCAGCAUGCCGGCUUCCGACUGACGCUGAAGCACGAAAGCGUGGGGAUCGAACAGGAUUAGAUACCCUUGUAGUC
This 460-nucleotide ribosomal RNA is filed under the name uncultured bacterium. RNAcentral's name for it is "partial 16S ribosomal RNA". It matches the Rfam family "Bacterial small subunit ribosomal RNA", at positions 338 to 795 of the family's 1533-position model. The record is from RNAcentral.